RNAcentral lists this ribosomal RNA (452 nucleotides) under uncultured bacterium. RNAcentral's name for it is "partial 16S ribosomal RNA". It matches the Rfam family "Bacterial small subunit ribosomal RNA", at positions 28 to 507 of the family's 1533-position model. The record is from RNAcentral.
GAUGAACGCUGGCGGCGUGCCUAACACAUGCAAGUCGAGCGAUUUACUUCGGUAAAGAGCGGCGGACGGGUGAGUAACGCGUGGGUAACCUGCCCUGUACACACGGAUAACAUACCGAAAGGUAUGCUAAUACGAGAUAAUAUGCUUUUAUCGCAUGGUAGAAGUAUCAAAGCUUUUGCGGUACAGGAUGGACCCGCGUCUGAUUAGCUAGUUGGUGAGGUAACGGCUCACCAAGGCGACGAUCAGUAGCCGACCUGAGAGGGUGAUCGGCCACAUUGGUACUGAGACACGGUCCAAACUCCUACGGGAGGCAGCAGUGGGGAAUAUUGCACAAUGGGCGAAAGCCUGAUGCAGCAACGCCGCGUGAGCGAUGAAGGCCUUCGGGUCGUAAAGCUCUGUCCUCAAGGAAGAUAAUGACGGUACUUGAGGAGGAAGCCCCGGCUAACUACGUG